CGCCACAUCUACGGCGGCUUAGACACUACCGGAGGAGCUGGUAAUAUUAUUAAUGGUCGGAAUAAAAAUGGUUGGCUCGCACCGGCACCCACUCUCGGUUUUCCACCUCCACCGCACGUGGCUGUCACGCCGCCACCUGUCCACAACCUUCAUUUUAGACCGUUGCACGUGUGGGGACAUCCCACGGUUGACCACUCCGUCAUGCCACACGUUUGGCCCAAACACUUACCUCCACCGUCUACUGCCAUGGCUACUCCUCCUCCGUUUUGGGUCUCGGAUUCUCCCUAUUGGCCUAGGGUGAGCUCUCACACACACUAAUUUUUUUUUUUUUUUUAUUAAGAAACCAUGCAUCCUAAAAGGAAUAUGUGCUAUUAUUUUGAAAAAUUCAAAUUUAGUGGGUAUAGGUUUGGAAUAAAAACUUUAAAAUAGCUUAUUUUAGAGAACUGUCUGUCUGUCCAUUAUGUUAUAUUUCAAGCUCAAAUAUAAUUUUUUUAGACCGGAUAAUAGCUAGGACUGUUAAAAUAUUUCUUAUGUGGUUAACGUUAAUUUAGUCAAACUCCUUCCAAACUAACUUUUUAAUUUGGUCG
RNAcentral lists this long non-coding RNA (587 nucleotides) under Eutrema salsugineum. RNAcentral describes it as "long non-coding RNA (ESAL_LNC001774)". Lineage: Eukaryota; Viridiplantae; Streptophyta; Magnoliopsida; Brassicales; Brassicaceae. The record is from RNAcentral.